This 478-nucleotide ribosomal RNA is filed under the name uncultured bacterium. RNAcentral describes it as "partial 16S ribosomal RNA". It matches the Rfam family "Bacterial small subunit ribosomal RNA", at positions 28 to 523 of the family's 1533-position model. The record is from RNAcentral.
GACGAACGCUGGCGGCGUGCUUAACACAUGCAAGUCGAACGGUAAGGCCCUUCGGGGUACACGAGUGGCGAACGGGUGAGUAACACGUGGGUGAUCUGCCCUGCACUUCGGGAUAAGCCUGGGAAACUGGGUCUAAUACCGGAUAGGACCACUGCCUGCUAGGCUGGUGGGCGAAGGCUUUUGCGGUGUGGGAUGGGCCCGCGGCCUAUCAGCUUGUUGGUGGGGUGAUGGCCUACCAAGGCGACGACGGGUAGCCGGCCUGAGAGGGUGACCGGCCACACUGGGACUGAGAUACGGCCCAGACUCCUACGGGAGGCAGCAGUGGGGAAUAUUGCACAAUGGGCGCAAGCCUGAUGCAGCGACGCCGCGUGAGGGAUGACGGCCUUCGGGUUGUAAACCUCUUUCAGCAUCGACGAAGCGCAAGUGACGGUAGGUGCAGAAGAAGGACCGGCCAACUACGUGCCAGCCGCCGCCGUAA